This 179-nucleotide ribosomal RNA is filed under the name Vibrio parahaemolyticus. RNAcentral's name for it is "partial 23S ribosomal RNA". It matches the Rfam family "Bacterial large subunit ribosomal RNA", at positions 1 to 175 of the family's 2925-position model. The record is from RNAcentral. Lineage: Bacteria; Pseudomonadati; Pseudomonadota; Gammaproteobacteria; Vibrionales; Vibrionaceae.
GUUGUAUGGUUAAGUGACUAAGCGUACACGGUGGAUGCCUUGGCAGUCAGAGGCGAUGAAGGACGUAUUAACUUGCGAUAAGCCCAGAUUAGGCAGUAAAAGCCACUUGAGUCUGGGAUUUCCGAAUGGGGAAACCCACUAGCAUAAGCUAGUAUCGCUGCGUGAAUACAUAGCGCAGC